This 373-nucleotide ribosomal RNA is filed under the name uncultured bacterium. RNAcentral describes it as "bacterial SSU rRNA". It matches the Rfam family "Bacterial small subunit ribosomal RNA", at positions 521 to 896 of the family's 1533-position model. The record is from RNAcentral.
UAAAACGUAGGACGCAAGCGUUAUCCGGAGUUACUGGGCGUAAAGCGCGGGCAGGCGGCUCUGUAAGUCUGAUGUGAAAGCGCCCGGCUCAACCGGGCGAGGCCAUUGGAAACUGGAGAGCUGGAGGGCAGUAGAGGCAGGCGGAAUUCCGGGUGGAGUGGUGAAAUGCGUAGAGAUCCGGAGGAACACCAGAGGCGAAGGCGGCCUGCUGGGCUGCACCUGACGCUGAGCCGCGAAAGCCAGGGGAGCGAACGGGAUUAGAAACCCCGGUAGUCCUGGCCGUAAACGAUGUGUGCUGGAUGAUGGCACGAACGUGUCGUUGUCGAAGCUAACGCGAUAAGCACACCGCCUGGGGAGUACGGUCGCAAGGCUA